GAGUUUGAUCCUGGCUCAGAACGUACGCUGGCGGCACGCCUAACACAUGCAAGUCGAACGAAGUAGCAAUACUUAGUGGCAGGCGGGUGAGUAACAUGUAGGUAUCUGCCCUUUGGCCUGGAAUAACACGAGGAAACUUGUGCUAAUACCGGAUAAGUCUUUACGGAGAAAGCUUUAUGCACCAUUGGAUGAGCCUGCACUUGAUUAGUUUGUUGGUGGGGUAAUGGCCUACCAAGACUGUGAUCAAUAGCUGAUUUGAGAGGAUGAUCAGCCACAUUGGGACUGAGACACGGCCCAAACUCCUACGGGAGGCAGCAGUGGGGAAUCUUGCACAAUGGAGGAAACUCUGAUGCAGCGAUGCCGCGUGAGUGAAGAAGGCCCUUGGGUUGUAAAGCUCUUUCGUCGGGGAAGAAAAUGACUGUACCCGAAUAAGAAGGUCCGGCUAACUUCGUGCCAGCAGCCGCGGUAAUACGAAGGGACCUAGCGUAGUUCGGAAUUACUGGGCUUAAAGAGUUCGUAGGUGGUUGAAAAAGUUAGUGGUGAAAUCCCAGAGCUUAACUCUGGAACUGCCAUUAAAACUUUUCAGCUAGAGUAUGAUAGAGGAAAGCAGAAUUUCUAGUGUAGAGGUGAAAUUCGUAGAUAUUAGAAAGAAUACCAAUUGCGAAGGCAGCUUUCUGGAUCAUUACUGACACUGAGGAACGAAAGCAUGGGUAGCGAAGAGGAUUAGAUACCCUCGUAGUCCAUGCCGUAAACGAUGUGUGUUAGACGUUGGAAAUUUAUUUUCAGUGUCGCAGGGAAACCGAUAAACACACCGCCUGGGGAGUACGACCGCAAGGUUAAAACUCAAAUGAAUUGACGGGGACCCGCACAAGUAGUGGAGCAUGUGGUUUAAUUCGAAGAUACGCGCAGAACCUUACCAACACUUGACAUGUUCGUCGCGACUCUAAGAGAUUAGAGUUUUCGGUUCGGCCGGACGAAACACAGGUGCUGCAUGGCUGUCGUCAGCUCGUGUCGUGAGAUGUUGGGUUAAGUCCCGCAACGAGCGCAACCCUCACUUUUAGUUGCCAUCAUUAAGUUGGGCACUCUGAAAGAACUGCCAGUGAUAAGCUGGCGGAAGGUGGGGAUGACGUCAAGUCCUCAUGGCCCUUACGUGUUGGGCUACACACGUGCUACAAUGGUAUCUACAACAGGAAGCAAGACUGCGAAGUUAAGCAAAUCCCUAAAAGAUACCUCAGUUCGGAUUGCACUCUGCAACUCGAGUGCAUGAAGCUGGAAUUACUAGUAAUCGUGGAUCAGCGUGCCACGGUGAAUGCGUUCCCGGGUCUUGUACACACCGCCCGUCACACCAUGGGAGUUGGUUCUACCUUAAGGCAAGGUUUCAAACCCUUGACCACGGUAUAGUCAGCGACUGGGGUGAAGUCGUAACAAGGUAACC
RNAcentral lists this ribosomal RNA (1435 nucleotides) under uncultured marine bacterium. RNAcentral describes it as "bacterial SSU rRNA". It matches the Rfam family "Bacterial small subunit ribosomal RNA". The record is from RNAcentral.